GUGGGGAAUAUUGGUCAAUGGGGGAAACCCUGAACCAGCAACGCCGCGUGAAGGAAGAAGGCUUUCGGGUUGUAAACUUCUUUUACCAGGGACGAAACAAAUGACGGUACCUGGUGAAUAAGCCACGGCUAACUACGUGCCAGCAGCCGCGGUAAUACGUAGGUGGCGAGCGUUAUCCGGAUUUAUUGGGUGUAAAGGGCGUGUAGGCGGGACAGCAAGUCAGAUGUGAAAACCAGAGGCUCAACCUCUGGCCUGCAUUUGAAACUGUUGUUCUUGAGUGUCGGAGAGGUAAUCGGAAUUCCGUGUGUAGCGGUGAAAUGCGUAGAUAUACGGAGGAACACCAGUGGCGAAGGCGGAUUACUGGACGAUAACUGACGCUGAGGCGCGAAAGCGUGGGGAGCAAACAGGAUUAGAAACCCGUGUAGUCC
Molecule: ribosomal RNA, 428 nt
Filed under: uncultured bacterium
Lineage: Bacteria
Description: partial 16S ribosomal RNA
Rfam family: Bacterial small subunit ribosomal RNA
Source: RNAcentral